ACCCACAUCAUCGAGGGAUCUUGCUAACAUACAGAUUCACAGUCAAUAGGUCUGGAGUGGGCUCGAGAUUCUGAAUUUCUAACAAGCUCUCAGGUGAUGCUGGU
This 104-nucleotide microRNA precursor is filed under the name Marmota monax (woodchuck). The record is from RNAcentral. Lineage: Eukaryota; Metazoa; Chordata; Mammalia; Rodentia; Sciuridae.